CGCGCCGCAGGGAGCGCCCCCGCCCCUGGGACCCUGCGCCUCUCAGCGCUCCUGCAGCCCGGCGGACCGGCUGGACCCCCGGAGCUGGCC
RNAcentral lists this microRNA precursor (90 nucleotides) under Dasypus novemcinctus (nine-banded armadillo). RNAcentral describes it as "miRNA (ENSDNOG00000046978.1)". Lineage: Eukaryota; Metazoa; Chordata; Mammalia; Cingulata; Dasypodidae. The record is from RNAcentral.